AAACGCGUUGAUCCGGCAGGGGCUCUUUUUCAUCUCUCACCGCAGCCUCCUCUCUCCUUUUGCCUUUCCACUUCCCGAAGCUAGGGUUGCCGCCGCCGCCGCCGCCCCAUCUCUCCUCCGGCACCGGGCACCGAAGGAAGGCCGGCUUCUCCCACAUAUCUUCUCCUCUUGAUUGCUACCUCAUAGCAAGGCGUGGCCCAGCUCUUCACCAUGGCGCCGACAGCAAGGCAGGCAGCGCCGCGAGCUCUCGUCACGAGGAAGCCGCAGGAGGACGAGGUCAAGCCGGACUAGGUCGAUGCGCCCCCCUGCCAUACCUCCUUCUUCUCUUGCGGGUUGGUUGCUGGCUUGCUGCUGUUUCUGGUGCCGUUCGUGUCCGACCGGAAGGGCGUAGCUUCUGUCUGUGUCGCUGCUCCUGAGCUCACGCAUCCACAUCGGAGGCUGCCGCUUGCAAAACUGCUCUAAGCCUCUAACCCGAGGAGCUCGUUGUCACCAUCGUGUAGAGGAGCACCAGGCUGCAUCAUAAGACGCCUCAACAGCGACCGACGAAGUCGUCGAGCCGAGACAUGCAAGCCUUUUGAGUGAGUUCCUCCAUAUUUCAUCAAUUCAGGUUGGUUCAUACACAUCACAGGUGUUGAUUUGCAAGUAGAUGGUUGAGUAAUAAAAGGAACAUACUGAUUAACUUGUUCGCUGCUUCCUCUGCUGCUGCCCAGCUAAUGAUGUUCACUUUUGCUUUGGCAAAAUGUUUGGCCGUGGAAGGAAAGCCUUUUGGUGUGGUGAGAGCUGUAGAUACAACUGAAUUUGGUACAUUCUGAGUAAUGCACAAAAUUGGCCAUGGUCACAAGACACAAGUUUUACAUUCCAAGAGCUCUGUAGUUUGCACUUGCACAGAUGAUCAACAAGCAGUGAACAAAUGGACCGAUGUUCAGAGUAUGUAAGAUUGAUCGAGCACGAUUGUCAAGUUUCACUUUCACUGAUGAUUACACAACUACAGAAUUAAUGGUAGCCCCUGGCAAAUGUUGAAGUUUUUUCAUGUAACAAGACCACAACUUUGAAAAUUAAGAUUGCUGCAAGCUAACAGGCCAUACCAUCGUUCUCCAUGAUAUAUGGCUUGGUAUUCAGGAAAAAGUAGAUGUCCUUCGAACUCGUGUCCUUUUUCUCUGAAUAUAUGAAGCUGAAGUCUAAACAUUUAGACCUUCUCAAUGUUGGCUUCGUGGUGUUGGGGGUGUGGCAUCGUCCUCGAAGUGAAGGCGCAGCGACCUUGAGUCGAUCGCAACCUCAAGUGCUUUCUCACAUGCUUGUCUUGAUUGGUUGUUCCCCUACUUGUAAUGACAUCUUUCAUUCUUAACUAAUGCUUCCGAGUCGUUAACAUAUGAUAAUUUCAUAUAGUUUGGUCAGCAAAAUUGAUUUCGCCUACUGAACUAUGUUAAUGAUGGCGUACGUGACCCACUGAACCAGACACGCCAAUGUGCAUAAUAACAAGACUGAGAUCAGGGACCCGACCAGUCACCCUAAUGUGCAUAGAAAAGAUUGAAGGGUGAUGCCACAAGAACCGAUGAGGAAAUCAAACUGAGGGUAUAUACGGUUAUCCUAUUGAGAUCCAAGCUCUAUUGUACAUGAAAUUAAGAUGUGCUCUUCAAAUGCUUAAGCCGGAUGGUGAAGGGGAGGACUUCAUAGAAAAGCCCAUUUACGAGAAAUAAUGAGAUACAACCCAAUACGAAGAGGCUGCCUACUCGGAUGAAUGGAAACGAAUUAACACAGCACGCACGUCACGCACGGGAGUGCGGGAGUUGCCGAGUCGGAGUUGCUCAGAUGCGUUCGCCGCCUGGCUCCCUGACGUGACAAGCCGCCGACGCCUUCCGCCCUGCGCUGCACCUGCAUGACGUGCCUCCGGCGGUCGCCUCGAUCCGCGGCCUGCAGGCCGGCUGGCCGUCCGUCAGAUUAGCACAAGGAAGACGUUGCGCCAUUGAUCGAUCAAGGUAAGUGGUAAACCCUAAGAUGCGUAGGUUCAGUUUCUUUCUUCUAAUUUCCAAUUAUUGUUAUAUUCCGAUUUUCAUGUUAGAGAGGCAAUCGUAUCAAAUAUCCAUGUAUUGAAAUUUUAAUAUAUGGAUUGGUAAUCGUAUCAUAUAUGGAACGCUGAUUGAGUUAGCUUAGCUUAAUAAUUUUGUGUAAAUAAGUAUGUGGAAUAGACUAAAUCUUUGAAUGUUAAACUUUACUGUAUGUCAAAAUUUUGAACGCUCAUAUAUUUGACAUUGACAAGGAAGCUAAUGAAGAGAUUCUUUGGAAAAUCAACAACCCACAAUAUGCCUAAAGAGGUGACAAUUAAACGCUUCCUUGGGAAAAAUCGCCGUGGGAUGAAACAGAAGGAGCUUGAAGACUACAAAUUAAUUCAAAACGGUCAGGAACAGCAUAUUGAUAUUUCUCAAGUUAUUGCGCCUUAAAUGGUUCACUACACAGAAGACUACCUCCAGAAGUGCAUUAACCAAGAUCAUGAUGCAUUGCCAAUCAAGCUUGCAGAUGGCGAGGUCCCCGUCGUCUCUCGCCUCAUCACAGGGAAUGACAGGAUGACCACCAUCACAACCAACUGGACAGAGUUCCACUGUCAUGCAAACAUGCAUGAGGGUGACAUCUGCGCCUUCUACUUCAGACGCAAGGCAAGGUGUACCGCCAAUGAUCGCGAUUAUCUCCUAUAAAUAUAAUCCAUGUAUCGUGCUCAUGUUUAUUGAACCUUCUACCUCUGUUCCUUGCCUUACUAUUGAACCACCUUAAUUAUCUAGAUAUCAACAUGCUACCUAUGUGUUUAUCACCGGGAUUAAUUUCCUUUCUUCCA
Molecule: long non-coding RNA, 2827 nt
Organism: Triticum aestivum (bread wheat)
Lineage: Eukaryota; Viridiplantae; Streptophyta; Magnoliopsida; Poales; Poaceae
Exons: 10
Source: RefSeq, a predicted model, not a curated record